Molecule: unclassified non-coding RNA, 378 nt
Filed under: uncultured Gammaproteobacteria bacterium
Lineage: Bacteria; Pseudomonadati; Pseudomonadota; Gammaproteobacteria
Description: contains 16S-23S intergenic spacer region
Source: RNAcentral
UCCGGCUUAUCACCGGCAGUCGCCUUAGAGUGCCCAACUGAAUGUGGCAACUAAUGGCAAGGGUUGCGCUCGUUGCGGGACUUAACCCAACAUCUCACGACACGAGCUGACGACAGCCAUGCAGCACCUGUGUUGCGGUUCCCUUUCGGGCACCAAGACAUCUCUGUCCCGUUCCGCACAUGUCAAGGGUAGGUAAGGUUUUUCGCGUUGCAUCGAAUUAAUCCACAUAAUCCACCGCUUGUGCGGGUCCCCGUCAAUUCCUUUGGGUUUCAGUCUUGCGACCGUACUCCCCAGGCGGCGAACUUAACGCGUUAGCUUCGACACUGAGAGCCUAGUUGCUCCCAACGUCCAGUUCGCAUCGUUUAGGGCGUGGACUAC